AGUACAGGAUGGACCCGCGUCUGAUUAGCUAGUUGGUAAGGUAACGGCUUACCAAGGCGACGAUCAGUAGCCGACCUGAGAGGGUGAUCGGCCACAUUGGAACUGAGACACGGUCCAAACUCCUACGGGAGGCAGCAGUGGGGAAUAUUGCACAAUGGGCGAAAGCCUGAUGCAGCAACGCCGCGUGAGUGAUGAAGGCCUUCGGGUCGUAAAACUCUGUCCUCAAGGAAGAUAAUGACGGUACUUGAGAAGGAAGCCCCGGCUAACUACGUGCCAGCAGCCGCGGUAAUACGUAGGGGGCUAGCGUUAUCCGGAUUUACUGGGCGUAAAGGGUGCGUAGGCGGUCUUUCAAGUCAGGAGUGAAAGGCUACGGCUCAACCGUAGUAAGCUCUUGAAACUGGGAGACUUGAGUGCAGGAGAGGAGAGUGGAAUUCCUAGUGUAGCGGUGAAAUGCGUAGAUAUUAGGAGGAACACCAGUUGCGAAGGCGGCUCUCUGGACUGUAACUGACGCUGAGGCACGAAAGCGUGGGGAGCAAACAGGAUUAGAUACCCUGGUAGUCCACGCUGUAAACG
Molecule: ribosomal RNA, 573 nt
Filed under: uncultured bacterium
Lineage: Bacteria
Description: bacterial SSU rRNA
Rfam family: Bacterial small subunit ribosomal RNA
Source: RNAcentral